GACGAACGCUGGCGGCGUGCCUAAUACAUGCGAGUUGAGCGCUGAAGGUUGGUACUUGUACCAACUGGAUGAGCAGCGAACGGGUGAGUAACGCGUGGGGAAUCUGCCUUUGAGCGGGGGACAACAUUUGGAAACGAAUGCUAAUACCGCAUAAAAACUUUAAACACAAGUUUUAAGUUUGAAAGAUGCAAUUGCAUCACUCAAAGAUGAUCCCGCGUUGUAUUAGCUCGUUGGUGAGGUAAAGGCUCACCAAGGCGAUGAUACAUAGCCGACCUGAGAGGGUGAUCGGCCACAUUGGGACUGAGACACGGCCCAAACUCCUACGGGAGGCAGCAGUAGGGAAUCUUCGGCAAUGGACGAAAGUCUGACCGAGCAACGCCGCGUGAGUGAAGAAGGUUUUCGGAUCGUAAAACUCUGUUGGUUGGGAAGAACGUUGGUGAGAGUGGAAAGCUCAUCAAGUGACGGUAACUACCCAGAAAGGGACGGCUAACUACGUG
This 497-nucleotide ribosomal RNA is filed under the name uncultured bacterium. RNAcentral's name for it is "partial 16S ribosomal RNA". It matches the Rfam family "Bacterial small subunit ribosomal RNA", at positions 28 to 507 of the family's 1533-position model. The record is from RNAcentral.